GGGGCUGUUUGGUUUCGACGGCGAGUAGAAGAGGUAUGUAAGCAUGCAGUGCAUUGUCUGUUAAGCACUUUAAUCAUAGCAGGUAAAAUAUAACUGGCGAAAAUAACUACGCUCUCGCUGCCUAAGUCGAAGUACAGUAGACUUGCUUAAUUUCGGCACAAGGUGCUGAAACGAGACAUCUCUCGGAUGCUACGCUCCAAGGCGGUCCGGCUCAGAGGUGUGGAUAAUUUGGAGAUAGUGCUUUUAUGCUGCGAUAUCAGCAUGAAAUUUUUAGCAGAUAAGGUAGCAGUUGGUGGCUUCGGUCUUGCUGCUGCUCGAAAAUCAAAGCGAAGAUAAGCAUGUAGAAAGCGUAUUGCUUCCUCGUUCGGACACGGGUUCGAAUCCCGUCAGCUCCAC
RNAcentral lists this transfer-messenger RNA (396 nucleotides) under human gut metagenome. It matches the Rfam family "transfer-messenger RNA". Rfam says of the family: Bacterial tmRNA, also known as 10Sa RNA or SsrA, is named for its dual tRNA and mRNA-like properties. Its role is to liberate the mRNA from a stalled ribosome. To accomplish this part of the tmRNA is used as a reading frame that ends in a translation stop signal. The record is from RNAcentral.